UGGGGAAUAUUGCACAAUGGGCGCAAGCCUGAUGCAGCCAUGCCGCGUGUAUGAAGAAGGCCUUCGGGUUGUAAAGUACUUUCAGCGGGGAGGAAGGGAGUAAAGUUAAUACCUUUGCUCAUUGACGUUACCCGCAGAAGAAGCACCGGCUAACUCCGUGCCAGCAGCCGCGGUAAUACGGAGGGUGCAAGCGUUAAUCGGAAUUACUGGGCGUAAAGCGCACGCAGGCGGUCUGUCAAGUCGGAUGUGAAAUCCCCGGGCUCAACCUGGGAACUGCAUUCGAAACUGGCAGGCUAGAGUCUUGUAGAGGGUGGUAGAAUUCCAGGUGUAGCGGUGAAAUGCGUAGAGAUCUGGAGGAAUACCGGUGGCGAAGGCGGCCCCCUGGACAAAGACUGACGCUCAGGUGCGAAAGCGUGGGGAGCAAACAGG
This 429-nucleotide ribosomal RNA is filed under the name Chloroflexota bacterium. RNAcentral describes it as "Chloroflexi bacterium partial 16S ribosomal RNA". It matches the Rfam family "Bacterial small subunit ribosomal RNA", at positions 355 to 776 of the family's 1533-position model. The record is from RNAcentral. Lineage: Bacteria; Bacillati; Chloroflexota.